GCUCUCAAGUCUGCUCAAGCUCUCAAGUCUGGUUCAACCGUCCUGCAGGUUUUGACCCUUUUACUGGCCCUAGAUUUCGGAUUCAAGUCUGCUCCCCUGGUGUGUUGCAUUUCUGGAUUGGGCCCCAUGCGUAUGACCCUGGCCUGGAUUUCACAAGAGUCUUCACUGCCCUCCCUCUCCAUAUUGACACCCCAAAGUCUACUCUCCAGGAGACUACCCUGUGCAUCUGGCAGCAACACGUUUUCCACGCCACCUUGAGCAUAAUAAACUGUAUAUCUAGCUCUCA
Oryzias melastigma (Indian medaka) is the source of this 286-nucleotide long non-coding RNA. RefSeq lists it as uncharacterized. The transcript is spliced from 2 exons. NCBI's taxonomy places the organism in Eukaryota, Metazoa, Chordata, Actinopteri, Beloniformes, Adrianichthyidae. The record is from RefSeq and is a predicted model, not a curated record.